RNAcentral lists this long non-coding RNA (531 nucleotides) under Homo sapiens (human). RNAcentral's name for it is "HSALNT0252041". The record is from RNAcentral. Lineage: Eukaryota; Metazoa; Chordata; Mammalia; Primates; Hominidae.
UGCAACAUGAGCUGCUGGAUUUGCUAAUGAUCACUCUAAAUAGUGUUUCUUGUAAGCAUUGGCAAUGAACAUGAGAACUCGCUUUAUUCAUUUUCUCUGAUUACAAAGAAGAUGAAAUUUCACGUAAGUGCACUGUAAGAAGCUGCCCAUGUUUCUCCUGUAUUCAGAUAGUUUCCACAAUUCCAUUCUCAUUCUUAGGGAAUCAGUUCUUCCCUUGGUAGAUGAAGGUAGUUUCUGUUUAGCGGAGGACUUGGCCCAUCUUUCCUUAAGGGAUGACAAUCUUUGUACCAUUGCCACAAGUGAAGGCUUCUAGGACAUCUCCAUGGAUGGAAUAAGCCAUUGCAGAAGGAAGGACACCUCCUCAGAGAAUGGCCUUUGAGGAAGAUCCAUGGGAAAGAGGGAAAAGAAAGAGAGAAGCACAACAGAGGAACCACUGCUGAGAUCUGUAGGAUAAUGCCUUCUUAUACUAACUCCCUCAUGGACUAGAUCCUGACUGGUGAAGAUCCAAGACAGGAGACGUCAACAUUCUUG